AAAGAUUAAGCCAUGCAUGUCUAAGUAUAAGCACUUUAUACUGUGAAACUGUGAAUGGCUCAUUAAAUCAGUUAUCGUUUAUUUGAUAGUACCUUGCUACAUGGAUACCUGUGGUAAUUCUAGAGCUAAUACAUGCUAAAAACCCCGACUUCAGGAAGGGGUGUAUUUAUUAGAUAAAAAACCAACGCCCUUCGGGGCUCCUUGGUGAAUCAUAAUAACUUAACGAAUCGCAUGGCCUUGCGCCGGCGAUGGUUCAUUCAAAUUUCUGCCCUAUCAACUUUCGAUGGUAGGAUAGUGGCCUACCAUGGUUU
This 311-nucleotide ribosomal RNA is filed under the name uncultured fungus. RNAcentral's name for it is "SSU rRNA". It matches the Rfam family "Eukaryotic small subunit ribosomal RNA", at positions 39 to 352 of the family's 1831-position model. The record is from RNAcentral. Lineage: Eukaryota; Fungi.